UACAGAGGGUGCAAGCGUUAAUCGGAAUUACUGGGCGUAAAGCGUGCGUAGUCGGUUAUCUAAGUCGGGUGUGAAAUCCCCGGGCUCAACCUGGGAAUUGCAUUCGAUACUGGAUAGCUAGAGUUCGGCAGAGGGAAGCGGAAUUUCGGGUGUAGCGGUGAAAUGCGUAGAUAUCCGAAGGAACAUCAGUGGCGAAGGCGGCUUCCUGGACCAGAACUGACGAUCGAGGCACGAAAGCGUGGGGAGCAAACAGGG
This 255-nucleotide ribosomal RNA is filed under the name uncultured bacterium. Its description in RNAcentral is "partial 16S ribosomal RNA". It matches the Rfam family "Bacterial small subunit ribosomal RNA", at positions 524 to 777 of the family's 1533-position model. The record is from RNAcentral.